Molecule: RNA transcript, 2523 nt
Organism: Strigops habroptila (Kakapo)
Lineage: Eukaryota; Metazoa; Chordata; Aves; Psittaciformes; Psittacidae
Gene: CDCA7L
Gene name: cell division cycle associated 7 like
Exons: 10
Source: RefSeq, a predicted model, not a curated record
GGCGGCUCUGUGCGCCAUGGUACGGCGCGGCCGGCGGCGGCGGCGGCGGGCGGCGGUAGCGGUGAGCCGCGGCAAGAAGGAGAUACCCAAGGAUGUGGCUGACAUUUUUAAUGCCCCCAGUGACAGUGAAGAUUUUCUGGGGUUCCAAGACGAUGCUUCCAGACAGAGAUUGUUGUCAGAGGGCACCUAUGCUAAUCUUGAUGCCCUGGAGCCAGGAAAAAAGGGAGCUCGAUUUCAGUCCAGAUACCUCACUGAAGAGCUGCGGAGGAUUUUCACGGAAGACACUGACUCUGAAAUGGAAACGUUUGAAGGCUUCGCUUCAAGCGAGGUAGAUGUGAACAAGAAAGGAGUUCUGGCGGUAGAGUCGGACUUGAGUGAUGGAGAACGUGAUAAUUUACUGGGUAGUGAGGAAGAAGAGGAGGAAGAGGCAAAGAAGAAAGUUUCCCCCAAGAGAAGAAGCUUCGGCCUCCGUGUUGCCUUACAGUUUCCCACCAGAAAGUCAUCAGAGAAAAAAUUGCCUGAACAGGAUUUUUCUAACUUACCUCUAAAAGAAAGUGAAUCCCUCACACCUCUUUCAAAAGAAAUAAGCUGUAAGCGGUGGGAUAAACUAGAGGGCUCUGUUUCAGAGUCUGAAGAAGAUAUGAAAGAAACACAGGAGGAAAGUUCCAGUGCUCUGCUUAAAAGAGCCAUGAAUAUUAAAGAAAAUAAAGCCAUGCUUGCUCAGCUGCUGGCAGAACUGAAUUCUAUACCUGAACUGUUCCCAGUGAAAACGCCCACCUCAACUCCUUCGAAACAGAAGAAAAUCCCAAGGAGGACAUUUUCAGAAGGCCAGAUAGAACGUCGCAUGAACCCAACCAGAAACGCCCGUCCACCAGAAAAGUUUGCCUUGGAAAAAUUUACUGUGUCGGCUGUCAAGUUUGCAGAACACUUCAGUAGCUAUAGACAACAAAACCUCUUGAAGAAGAGACUCAGUGUGCAGGGGAAUUGUGGAGUCCGCAGAAGGAGGAGAUCAUCAAAAUAUUCAUCUCACCGUCCAGUAGAGGAUAUUACUGAGGAGGACUUGGACAACAUUGCAAUCACUGUUAAAGAUAAAGUCUAUGACAAAGUUCUAGGUAGUACUUGCCACCAGUGUCGACAAAAGACAACUGAUACAAAGACAAUCUGUCGCAACCACGGCUGUGGUGGGGUAAGGGGACAGUUUUGUGGACCAUGUCUUCGAAAUCGAUAUGGGGAAGAUGUGAAAUCAGCACUGCUUGAUCCAGCCUGGAUCUGUCCCCCUUGUCGUGGGGUGUGCAACUGCAGCUACUGCCGCCGGCGGGAUGGGCGCUGUGCCACGGGCAUGCUCAUCCACUUGGCCAAGUUCUACGGCUACAACAAUGUCAAGGAGUACCUAGAAAGGUGAGGGCUGUGCCCCAUGGUCAUCUCCUUUUAAACUGUUGUAGCCCUUUAAACAAUACCUGACUUCUGUGGCCUGGAGGAGAUCCUGGACCUGUGCAAAAGAAAUUUUUUCGACUUGAAAUCAGGUUCAUUAAAUUUACAGAAGCAACUGGCGAAUGACAAUUGAGAACUCUGAACUCAAAGUGUGCCUGCAACUGGUUAAUAUGUUGACAAUAUUUGACUUCAGAAGGUUAUUACUAUGUUUUAUAUAAGAUAGAAUUGUAGGGUAGAGUAUAUGCAUUUCUUUGUUCAGAACUUUGAUUGGUGUGGUCUUAUGCAAAAGAUCUCUCAGGAAAAUGUUUUGGUAGAGAAAUCUACAUGCACAGACCUAUAUGUUAAGUGAAGUGAAGUGGCACUCUUGAACUUUGAGUGGUUAAUUUUUAAUAGAGCUACACAACCACAUGAUUGAGAACUUGGUCAAUUUGAGCAAUAUUUUUAUUUAUAUAAUUGUGCAAGUUUGCAGAAAGGGUGUUUAAUAACUACCUGUAAAGCAUAUCCUGUCUUUAAAGAAACAAAACGCCCUUUGUGUUCCAGCUUGACCCUAAAGAUUCAGUUUUCCAACUCUUGUUUUCUGAACCUACUCCUGCACCUGUAGUUUAUGGAACUUUCCAUGCAAAGGAAGGAAGGGUACUUUUAUCUGAAUGCCAUAAUAUUUCAGCCAAAGCUGAUGCAACCUACCAGUGGGGGGAUGAUUUUUUUUUUUGUAUUCCAAAGUGCAAUUAAUAACUGAAACAUGAAAGUGGAAGAGUGUUUUAUAAAAAAAAAAAAUAAAAAAAUUUAAAGAAUUUUAAACAUCAUCCCAAUAAACAAAAUGAAUUGUUCACUUGCAGUUUUCAUGUGAUGUAUCUGCUGCCUGAACCAACUACCUUACAGCAGUUGGUAAUUGGGUAACUGGUUUAAAUCACAGAGUUCAGGAUUACUUUUUUUAAGUACAAUUCAUAUUUAGAUGUUUUUUUCGUAUGUACAACCAAACUUUCAAACUUAGUUUAAGUGCAACAUGUUUGUAUUGCAGUAUGGUUAUGUUAAAAUUCUUGUAAGAUACAUGUUUCAUUUUAUGUAGAGAGAAUAAAAAGUAAUCAAGAGGAG